GGGAGCACAGGAUCCUGUGCUGUGUCCCCCGGCGCCCUGGGAUCUAGGGUCUGUGCUGCUGGAAUCGCGUUCCUGGGGCUGCGGCUCCU
RNAcentral lists this microRNA precursor (89 nucleotides) under Canis lupus dingo (dingo). RNAcentral's name for it is "mir-8799 microRNA precursor family". It matches the Rfam family "mir-8799 microRNA precursor family". Lineage: Eukaryota; Metazoa; Chordata; Mammalia; Carnivora; Canidae. The record is from Rfam by way of RNAcentral.